UGCCAGACUCCUACGGGAGGCAGCAGUGAGGAAUAUUGGUCAAUGGGCGGAAGCCUGAACCAGCCAAGUCGCGUGAGGGAUUAAGGCCCUGCGGGUCGUAAACCUCUUUUGCCGGGGAGCAGUGGUCCGGACGCGUCCGGACCGGGAGAGUACCCGGAGAAAAAGCAUCGGCUAACUCCGUGCCAGCAGCCGCGGUAAUACGGAGGAUGCGAGCGUUAUCCGGAUUUAUUGGGUUUAAAGGGUGCGUAGGCGGGCUUUUAAGUCAGCGGUAAAAAUUCGGGGCUCAACCCCGUCCGGCCGUUGAAACUGGCGUUCUUGAGUGGGCGAGAAGUAUGCGGAAUGCGUGGUGUAGCGGUGAAAUGCAUAGAUAUCACGCAGAACUCCGAUUGCGAAGGCAGCAUACCGGCGCCCAACUGACGCUGAAGCACGAAAGCGUGGGUAUCGAACAGGAUUAGAUACCCGUGUA
Molecule: ribosomal RNA, 466 nt
Filed under: uncultured bacterium
Lineage: Bacteria
Description: bacterial SSU rRNA
Rfam family: Bacterial small subunit ribosomal RNA
Source: RNAcentral